This 519-nucleotide ribosomal RNA is filed under the name uncultured bacterium. RNAcentral's name for it is "partial 16S ribosomal RNA". It matches the Rfam family "Bacterial small subunit ribosomal RNA", at positions 28 to 507 of the family's 1533-position model. The record is from RNAcentral.
GACGAACGCUGGCGGCGUGCCUAAUACAUGCAAGUCGAGCGAGCUUGCCUAGAUGAAUUUGGUGCUUGCACCAAAUGAAACUAGAUACAAGCGAGCGGCGGACGGGUGAGUAACACGUGGGUAACCUGCCCAAGAGACUGGGAUAACACCCUGAAACAGAUGCUAAUACCGGAUAACAACACUAGACGCAUGUCUAGAGUUUAAAAGAUGGUUCUGCUGUCACUCUUGGAUGGACCUGCGGUGCAUUAGCUAGUUGGUAAGGCAACGGCUUACCAAGGCAAUGAUGCAUAGCCGAGUUGAGAGACUGAUCGGCCACAUUGGGACUGAGACACGGCCCAAACUCCUACGGGAGGCAGCAGUAGGGAAUCUUCCACAAUGGACGCAAGUCUGAUGGAGCAACGCCGCGUGAGUGAAGAAGGGUUUCGGCUCGUAAAGCUCUGUUGGUAGUGAAGAAAGAUAGAGGUAGUAACUGGCCUUUAUUUGACGGUAAUUACUUAGAAAGUCACGGCUAACUACGUG